RNAcentral lists this ribosomal RNA (253 nucleotides) under uncultured bacterium. Its description in RNAcentral is "partial 16S ribosomal RNA". It matches the Rfam family "Bacterial small subunit ribosomal RNA", at positions 524 to 776 of the family's 1533-position model. The record is from RNAcentral.
UACGGAGGGGGCUAGCGUUGUUCGGAAUUACUGGGCGUAAAGCGCACGUAGGCGGCUUUGUAAGUUAGAGGUGAAGGCCCGGGGCUCAACUCCGGAAUUGCCUUUAAGACUGCAUCGCUAGAAUUGUGGAGAGGUAAGUGGAAUUCCGAGUGUAGAGGUGAAAUUCGUAGAUAUUCGGAAGAACACCAGUGGCGAAGGCGACUUACUGGACACAUAUUGACGCUGAGGUGCGGAAGCGUGGGGAGCAAACAGG